Molecule: RNA transcript, 1400 nt
Organism: Drosophila teissieri
Lineage: Eukaryota; Metazoa; Arthropoda; Insecta; Diptera; Drosophilidae
Exons: 4
Source: RefSeq, a predicted model, not a curated record
AAUUCAAUUUGGUGCUUUUGGAAAUCAAAUUGGAUAUUUUAUUUGGAAAUCGUAUUCCAUAUUCGUAAUAAACCGCAUUUGAUAAACACGUGCUUUAUUGAAUUCUACGGUAUGUGUUGUUGUUAGUGCGGUGUUUUAUUUCUUCGCGGGCCAGGCGAACUUUUUUCUCGCCCCUAAUUGUUCUUCUAUAUAGUUCUAGAGUACUAUUCUAUUUCAUUCAAUUUUGUGCUUUUGGAAAUAAAAUUGGAUAUUUUAUUUGGAAAUCUUAUUCCAUGUAUCAAAUAAAAUGCCGAAUAGAACAUUGCAAUGUGAGGAAGAGCGUGCACAAAUUAAUGCAGAUAGAAGAGAUCGAUAUGCACGAAAUCGAAACUCACCUAAUCGAUCUCUUGAUAGGCAGCCACCUCGAAACCGGCCAGUGCGAGCGGGAGUUCGUGUUUUGCAGCAAACGCUCCUUGCUGCUUUUAAUUACGAUAGUGCCAUUGAUUACAGUGCAUAUGGCUGUAUUGGUGGAAUGACGGUGAGAUGUGCACAUUGUGGUGCAACCAAAUUUCCAAAUAAAACAGAUGGCAUGAGCUGUGCUAACGGCAAAGUGAAAUUGCCAACAUUUAAUUCACCACCCGAUCCACUACGUUCGCUGAUUUUUGGAAUGGUAUCAACGUCGACACAUUUUUUGUCUCAUAUUCAAGAAUACAAUGCAUCAUUUCAAAUGACUUCUUUUGGUGCGACAAAAAUUGUAAGAGACAAUUUAAUGCCGACGUUCAAGGUGAUUAGUUCUUCUUCCUUCUUCUUCUUCUUCAUCCUCCUUCUUCUUUCUCCUCCUUCUUCUUCUUCGUUCUUCGUCUCACAUAUUACAGAUUCAGGGUCAGAUUUACCACCGCGCUGGCUCAUUAUUACCAUAUCCUGAUUCCGACCAUCAAUUCUUACAAAUCUAUUUCGUUGGAAAUGAAAAUCGCGAAUUGGAUCGGCGAUGUACAAUUGCUUCGAGGUUCAAGUAUUCAAAAUCGCUCUCGAUCGUAUGCCAUCGGAUAAUCACAAAAUCAUCAUAAAAGCCGAUAGAACACCCAUCGGAGAGCAUGCAAGUCGAUUUAAUGCACCGAAAACCGAUGAUGUGGCUAUUGUAAUUGUUGGGACCAGUUUCAAUCUCGCGACAUCGUGCUACAUCGAAGAAAUGAGCAAUUACAGCGUGUUUCAGAGCUUCACCGCAGCUAUGAUGCAUUACAAUAUCCAUUAUUGUACUGGAAAGGUGAUGACGCCUAGAAUAUCAAUAUACCAAUGAUAGAUCCACAAACCGGCAGAGUAUAAUAUAAAUUUAAUAUGCAUUCAUUUUAACACAAGAAGACAUUUGAAUUUUUUUAAUAAUGCAUUCAUUACAGCUCGUGACAAGAGUUCAAGAGUUGGCA